CAAUAGCGUAUAUUAAAGUUGUUGCGGUUAAAAAGCUCGUAGUUGGAUUUCUGUCUCCUGCGCUCGGUCCGAUCUACGAUCGCGUAUCUGAGACGCGCGAGGCAUCCGGAAGUUUAAGGCGCGUUGCUUCAUUGCAAUGUCCGUAGGCUUCUCUUUUACUUUGAGGAAAUUAGAGUGUUCACGGCAGGCAAUCGCCCUGAAUACAUUAGCAUGGAAUAAUAAUAUAGGACCUCGGUUCUAUUUUGUUGGUUUCUAGAGCUGAGGUAAUGAUUAAUAGGGAUAAUUGGGGGCAUUCGUAUUAUCACGUCAGAGGUGGAAUUCUUGGAUUGUGUUACGACGAACUACUGCGAAAGCAUUUGCCAAGGAUGUUUUCAUUGA
RNAcentral lists this ribosomal RNA (378 nucleotides) under uncultured eukaryote. Its description in RNAcentral is "partial 18S ribosomal RNA". It matches the Rfam family "Eukaryotic small subunit ribosomal RNA", at positions 592 to 976 of the family's 1831-position model. The record is from RNAcentral.